This 32-nucleotide non-coding RNA is filed under the name Syntrophotalea carbinolica DSM 2380. Lineage: Bacteria; Pseudomonadati; Thermodesulfobacteriota; Desulfuromonadia; Desulfuromonadales; Syntrophotaleaceae. The record is from RNAcentral.
CAUCCCCGUCUUCCGUGAUUGCUGAUCGAGUG